RNAcentral lists this ribosomal RNA (492 nucleotides) under uncultured bacterium. RNAcentral's name for it is "partial 16S ribosomal RNA". It matches the Rfam family "Bacterial small subunit ribosomal RNA", at positions 29 to 507 of the family's 1533-position model. The record is from RNAcentral.
AGUGAACGCUGUCGGUAGGCCUAACACAUGCAAGUCGAACGGCAUCACAGUAAGAGUUUGCUCUUAUGGGUGGCGAGUGGCGGCCGGUUGAGGAAUACAUCGCACUCUACUUUUUCUUGGAGUAUAACGUAGGGCAACUUACGCUAAUACCUCAUACGUCCUACGGGUGAAAGCAGGGGAUCUUCGCACCUUGCGCGAUUGAAUGAGCCGAUGUCGGAUUAGCUAGUUGGCGGGGUAAAGGCCCACCAAGGCGACGAUCCGUAGCUGGUCUGAGAGGAUGAUCAGCCACACGGGAACUGAGACAAGGUCCAGACUACUACGGGAGGCAGCAGUGGGGAAUAUUGGACAAUGGGCGCAAGCCUGAUCCAGCCAUACCGAGUAGGUGAAGAAGGCCUUCGGGUUGUAAAGCCCUUUUGUUGGGAAAGAAAAGCAGUAGGCUAAUACCCCGCUGUUCUGACGGUACCCAAAGAAUAAGCACCGGCUAACUUCGUG